This 90-nucleotide non-coding RNA is filed under the name Candidatus Omnitrophota bacterium. RNAcentral describes it as "Omnitrophica bacterium c-di-GMP sequence". It matches the Rfam family "c-di-GMP-I riboswitch aptamer". From Rfam's summary of the family: GEMM was predicted in a large-scale screen for bacterial structured RNA regulatory elements. The record is from RNAcentral. Lineage: Bacteria; Pseudomonadati; Candidatus Omnitrophota.
UCUAGAUAAAAGCAAACUUAUGGUGACAUAGGGACGCAAAACUACGGGUCUAGAAGAAUUUAUCUUAAUCUAGAAAGCCAAGUUGCCUAG